UGAAGUAACAGCGGUACUGUGGCUGUCUAGUAAACAGGAGAUCCUGGGUUGAAAUCCCAGCAGUA
Molecule: non-coding RNA, 65 nt
Organism: Merluccius polli (Benguela hake)
Lineage: Eukaryota; Metazoa; Chordata; Actinopteri; Gadiformes; Merlucciidae
Source: the annotation of a GenBank genome assembly